UGCUCUAAAUAAUUAUAAUUAACAUUAUCUUAAAGCAGUCAUAGAACUCCUUGUAUACUUACUGCUUCAGCUUAUCUCAUUACAUGUAAGUAACGGUGGAGUAGUCAUAUUUACUGUGUCUUGUGCCUGAAAAUAAUUAGUCUUUUUUAUGAUAUGAUUAUUGUAUUUUCAAUUUUAGAACUACUGCAAGAUCAUAUCAUGUUAUGCCAUCGAAUGGUUUAUAAGAGCAAAGAUAAAACCAUAAAUCUUAAGGUGUUAGAUGGAUUUGUUUUUCUUGAGUUUGGGUGUGUUUUGUAUUUAUUUUAGUUCAUAACCAUAGAUAAGUUGAAUGAGUUUUUCUUUUAGUGAUGAUCUGACUUACUAUUUAAAUUAAUAUUGUCACUCUUCUUUACUAUUUUUUCUUUUUCGUUAUCAUCAAUUUUCUCUCUACAUUUUAAAAAAUGCCUAAUUAAAUUUCGAUUCUUCACCAUUCAGAUUCUUUUCUCAUCCAAAUAUAUAAUUGAGCCAAUACUAUGUGCCUUUACCGCAGCAAUCCAUCUCAAGACCUGGCAGACGUUGGGUUUAUGGUCGCGUUUACUUAAUUAGACAGAGGCAACGAUGGGCAUGACGAUGACGUUAAUAUCAUUCCCCUCAGUUAAUCCUGAAGGUCACGAAGCGUUAUGUACAGCAAGUUCUUCUCAUUUUGCGUCUCAAAUCCAAGUCAGCGCCACGUCUCAUCCAAAUAUAUAGUAGAAGAAUUCUGCCCAUAUAUGUAAGAAACAUUAAUGUAUUUGUUGGUGCUUGAGAAAAUAUAGUCAACAGAUUUUACUUUAUUUUGGUUAAAAUUGAACAGGUAAUUGUUUUUUUUGAAAUCAAUAAUAUCUCAUUUGUCUAUAUGUGAACUGGCAGUUGGUACUUGGUAGUAGCAUAGUCCAGGAUUAGGCUGGUUCUUGUCAUUCAGCAUCUCUCCCUCU
This 953-nucleotide long non-coding RNA is filed under the name Nicotiana benthamiana. RNAcentral describes it as "long non-coding RNA (NBEN_LNC002580)". The record is from RNAcentral. Lineage: Eukaryota; Viridiplantae; Streptophyta; Magnoliopsida; Solanales; Solanaceae.